Bos grunniens (domestic yak) is the source of this 107-nucleotide small nuclear RNA. NCBI's taxonomy places the organism in Eukaryota, Metazoa, Chordata, Mammalia, Artiodactyla, Bovidae. The record is from Ensembl.
GUGCUCGCUUUGGCAGCACAUAUACUAAAAGUAGAAUGACACAGAGAAGAUUAGCAUGGUCCCUGCACAAAGAUGACAGGCAAAUUCGUGCAGUGGUCCAUAUUCUU